Molecule: ribosomal RNA, 245 nt
Filed under: uncultured bacterium
Lineage: Bacteria
Description: partial small subunit ribosomal RNA
Rfam family: Bacterial small subunit ribosomal RNA
Source: RNAcentral
AGAAUCAACGCUGGCGGCGUGCCUAACACAUGCAAGUCGAACGAGAAAGUGGAGCAAUCCAUUAGUAAAGUGGCGCACGGGUGAGUAACACGUGACUAACCUACCUUUUAGUGGGGGAUAACCUAGGGAAACCUGGGCUAAUACCGCAUAAUACCUACGGGUCAAAGCAGCAAUGCGCUGAAAGAGGGGGUCGCGGUCGAUUAGUUAGUUGGCAGGGUAAUGGCCUACCAAGACUGUGAUCGAUA